Regulatory RNA element from Yersinia pestis CO92, 304 nucleotides. It matches the Rfam family "OppA 5' UTR thermometer". From Rfam's summary of the family: Positioned upstream of gene for oligopeptide uptake. NCBI's taxonomy places the organism in Bacteria, Pseudomonadati, Pseudomonadota, Gammaproteobacteria, Enterobacterales, Yersiniaceae. The record is from Rfam.
AACUUUUUGAAAAAAGUUCGCUUAUAUUUUUAUGAAAUUUAGCUGUAGUGAUUAUUUUGGAAUAGUUAAUUUAUUUUGGGAUGGUUGAUGCAUUUUGGAAUAGUUGAUGCAUGUCGUUGAUAGCUAAUUGACCAUCGCCAUAGACAAAAUAUCACCACAUGUGAGGUUUACGUUACCGGGUUCGUUCCCCAGGUAACGCAAAUUUAGAAUACCGUUUAAAGGUGAGUUUGCCUGUUCACUGGGCAAUACAUAAUAAAAUGGAGUACAUAUAAACAUGACCAACAUCACAAAGAAGAAUCUCAUU